GAGAAUCUGUUCUAUAUGUUAUUAGUUGAGUUAAGUUUCCCGAGCGAUAAUUUUUAGUCAAGGGAAUUACCUCUAUUGAUUUUAUUAGAGUUAAUAUGUGAUACCCACCUUAACUUCAGGUCUCAGGAAUCUACUAAGACUGACAAUAGAUACGGAUUCUAC
The sequence is a non-coding RNA, 162 nucleotides long. It matches the Rfam family "6S / SsrS RNA". From Rfam's summary of the family: E. coli 6S RNA was the first non coding RNA to be sequenced, but its function was unknown until recently. It consists of 184 nucleotides that fold into an extended hairpin structure with a large single-stranded internal bulge. The record is from Rfam.